UUCACCUUCACCUUCACCUUCACCUCCCCUCUAGUACUUCCUGGGAUAUGCAUCUCACAUCAUGGGAGACUGUUAAACAGCAGUUGAAGCUGUUAAACUGUUAAGCAACUGUUUAAUUUUACAUCCGAUACCCUGGGAAAGAUGUGUCUUGUGUUUCAGUUCAGACAAGAAGAGGGCUAGCCAAGUCACAAUGGGAACUAUGACAGGGCUCCCUCAUGACCAGAGUUGUGUGGCAUUAGCAGAUACUGCAUAAGUAUGGACAUACACAAACUGGUGCGUUCAUGCAAACAGUAAGCUUCCUGCUCCAGACCUGGCUUUGCUGGACUAGCCACAAUAAAGGUUGCAAGUAUGUCUGAACAAGCCUGGAACCAGGGUGCUUUUGGAUCUAGCACCUGAAGCAGAUCUUCCUGCACCUUCUGAAGGCCAUGCUCACCACACCAGAUGAUGACACAGUUUAGCCUCCAUCACUUUGGCGAGCUGUGCAGCUUUUCUGCUGCCGGGUCAGAGCAAGUCCCCAGGCAUGUAAUUUCUGGUUGCUGACAUUAGCUUUGAAAAAGCAAACCAAAUAAAGAAACAAACAACAGAUCUGACCAGACAGCAUGGAUCCACCAAAGGAAAGUCAUAUGUAACCAAGCUGAUAAACUUCCUUGAUGAAAAGACUAGCCUGGUAGACCCAGGGAGAGCAGUGGAUGUUGUCUACCUGAACUUCAGUAAGGCUUUUGACACUGUCUUCCUUGCUGUCUGGACUGGAUCCCUCAGCCUUUUUCAUGUCCUGCGUAAUGUGGUUCCCCUUCGUAUUCAGCAAUGGGUCCACAUUUUCCCCAACCUUACUUUUGUUACCUAGGUACUUUUAGAGUCCUUUCUUGUUGUCUUUGCCAUCCCUGAACAGAUACAAGUCCAUAUGGGCAUUGGCUUUCUUAAACUCAUACCAGCAUGCUCAAACAAUGUCUCUAGAUUCCUUCCAGGUUAUCUGUACCUGCCUCCACACUCUGCGUGCUUGCUUCUUGUGUUUGAACUUGGCUGCCUUUGACUGUCAUAUCCCCAGUGAGCCCCUUCUUGUUGGUAAGAGGUCCAGCAGAGCGUCCUACUCUGGAGACUUGGAGAUGGAGGUUAUCAUCACACCCCAGCUGGACAAAGCCCUGAGUAUCUUGGUUUGACCCCAUAGCUGAUUCUGCUUUUGGGCAUAAGCUUGCACCACAGACCUUUCAAGGUCCCCUCCAAACAUGUUGAUUAUGUGAUGUUAUCUUCAUGACAGAUUUACUUUAGGAUGGCCAUUGGUAGAGUGCAUGUCAAUAAAUUACA
Cygnus olor (mute swan) is the source of this 1302-nucleotide long non-coding RNA. RefSeq lists it as uncharacterized. The transcript has 4 exons. The record is from RefSeq and is a predicted model, not a curated record. Lineage: Eukaryota; Metazoa; Chordata; Aves; Anseriformes; Anatidae.